Molecule: long non-coding RNA, 488 nt
Organism: Gambusia affinis (western mosquitofish)
Lineage: Eukaryota; Metazoa; Chordata; Actinopteri; Cyprinodontiformes; Poeciliidae
Exons: 3
Source: RefSeq, a predicted model, not a curated record
GAAUGCAAACUUCAGGCCCUUCUGAUGCGUUCAAGUGGAACUAAGUAAAAGUACAGUAGGAGGAAGGAGCAGCACAUCCACUGCUGAGGAAGAGAUGCCGGAUCCGUCCAGCCAGCUCUGCUCCUCUCGUUCUGUCCUCACUGAGACACACCCACCUCUCUUCUGGAGCUACAUGGACAGAGGAAUUCAAGAAGGUUGCAGACUCUGCAACAGGCUCUGUGAGAAAUGACUCCACCGUAUGCAGUCACUGACGGAGCUUCGGCAUAUGGCCACCAUCAUUCUCUCCAAGCCACCUGUUUGUGUUUGUCAACCGAUAAGAGACAAACACACAAACAGGCUGUAAGUUGCUUACAUCUUUUAAAAAAUAUAUACAAGAUGUGAUAUAAUGAUGUUGGUAAAAUCCUUAUUCUUAAUGUGUUUCACCUCUGACUGAUUUGUGAAAAUAAAAGGCUGUUUGUUCUGAUAUUCCACUUAUUAAUAAAGCUUAU